UACGUAGGGACCAAGCGUUGUUCGGAUUUACUGGGCGUAAAGGGUGCGUAGGUGGUUGAUUAAGUUAUCUGUGAAAUCCCCGGGCUCAACCUGGGCAGGUCAGAUAAUACUGGUUAACUCGAGUAUGGGAGAGGGUAGUGGAAUUUCCGGUGUAGCGGUGAAAUGCGUAGAGAUCGGAAGGAACACCAGUGGCGAAGGCGGCUACCUGGCCCAAUACUGACACUGAGGCACGAAAGCGUGGGGAGCAAACAGG
Molecule: ribosomal RNA, 253 nt
Filed under: uncultured bacterium
Lineage: Bacteria
Description: partial 16S ribosomal RNA
Rfam family: Bacterial small subunit ribosomal RNA
Source: RNAcentral